This 392-nucleotide ribosomal RNA is filed under the name Gyraulus sp. GCOR-18. RNAcentral describes it as "partial large subunit ribosomal RNA". The stretch from base 1 to 146 matches the Rfam family "Archaeal large subunit ribosomal RNA", at positions 1903 to 2097 of the family's 2987-position model. The record is from RNAcentral. Lineage: Eukaryota; Metazoa; Mollusca; Gastropoda; Planorbidae.
AAACAUAGUUUUAUGAAAAUAUAUAAAAUAUUUUCUGCCCAGUGUUUAUAAUAAAUGGCCGCAGUACCUUGACUGUGCUAAGGUAGCAUAAUCAAUUGGCUUUUAAUUAAGGUCUAGAAUGAAAGGGAUAAUGAAGUUAAACUGUCUUAAUAACUUUUAUUAAAAUUUAUUAAAAAGGUGAAAAUACCUUUAAAAAAAAUAAAGACGAGAAGACCCUUAGAAUUUUUGAAUUUUUUUUGUUGGGGCGACAAUUUAAAAUAAUAAUCUUAAAUUUUAUAAUAUAACGAUUUUUUUAAUAAAAAUUAAAUUACCUUAGGGAUAACAGCAUAAUUAUUUAAAUAGUUUGUGACCUCGAUGUUGGACUAGGAACUAUAUGGCUAACCGUCUAAAUA